Molecule: ribosomal RNA, 433 nt
Filed under: uncultured bacterium
Lineage: Bacteria
Description: partial 16S ribosomal RNA
Rfam family: Bacterial small subunit ribosomal RNA
Source: RNAcentral
AACGAACGCUGGCGGCAUGCCUAACACAUGCAAGUCGAACGAGACCUUCGGGUCUAGUGGCGCACGGGUGCGUAACGCGUGGGAACCUGCCCUUAGGUUCGGAAUAACUCCCCGAAAGGGGUGCUAGUACCGGAUAAUGUCUUCGGACCAAAGAUUUAUCGCCUUUGGAUGGGCCCGCGUUGGAUUAGCUAGUUGGUAGGGUAAAAGCCUACCAAGGCGACGAUCCAUAGCUGGUCUGAGAGGAUGAUCAGCCACACUGGGACUGAGACACGGCCCAGACUCCUACGGGAGGCAGCAGUGGGGAAUAUUGGACAAUGGGUGAAAGCCUGAUCCAGCAAUGCCGCGUGAGUGAUGAAGGCCUUAGGGUUGUAAAGCUCUUUUACCCGGGAUGAUAAUGACAGUACCGGGAGAAUAAGCUCCGGCUAACUCCGUG